This 1446-nucleotide ribosomal RNA is filed under the name uncultured bacterium. RNAcentral describes it as "bacterial SSU rRNA". It matches the Rfam family "Bacterial small subunit ribosomal RNA". The record is from RNAcentral.
AGAGUUUGAUCCUGGCUCAGGAUGAACGCUGGCGGCGUGCUUAACACAUGCAAGUCGAACGAACCUUCGGGUUAGUGGCGGACGGGUGAGUAACGCGUGAGAAUCUGCCCUCAGGAGGGGGAUAACGGUUGGAAACGACCGCUAAUACCCCAUAUGCCUACUGGUGAAAUGAAUUUCGCCUGAGGAUGAGCUCGCGUCUGAUUAGCUAGUUGGUGAGGUAAUGGCUCACCAAGGCUUCGAUCAGUAGCUGGUCUGAGAGGAUGAUCAGCCACACUGGGACUGAGACACGGCCCAGACUCCUACGGGAGGCAGCAGUGGGGAAUUUUCCGCAAUGGGCGAAAGCCUGACGGAGCAACGCCGCGUGAGGGACGAAGGCCUCUGGGCUGUAAACCUCUUUUCUCAAGGAAGAAGAUAUGACGGUACUUGAGGAAUAAGCCACGGCUAAUUCCGUGCCAGCAGCCGCGGUAAUACGGGAGUGGCAAGCGUUAUCCGGAAUUAUUGGGCGUAAAGCGUCCGCAGGCGGCUUUUCAAGUCUGCUGUUAAAGCGUGGAGCUUAACUCCAUCAUGGCAGUGGAAACUGAAAGGCUUGAGUAUGGUAGGGGCAGAGGGAAUUCCCGGUGUAGCGGUGAAAUGCGUAGAUAUCGGGAAGAACACCAGUGGCGAAGGCGCUCUGCUGGGCCAUCACUGACGCUCAUGGACGAAAGCCAGGGGAGCGAAAGGGAUUAGAUACCCCUGUAGUCCUGGCCGUAAACGAUGAACACUAGGUGUCGGGGGAAUCGACCCCCUCGGUGUCGUAGCCAACGCGUUAAGUGUUCCGCCUGGGGAGUACGCACGCAAGUGUGAAACUCAAAGGAAUUGACGGGGGCCCGCACAAGCGGUGGAGUAUGUGGUUUAAUUCGAUGCAACGCGAAGAACCUUACCAGGGUUUGACAUCCUGCGAAUCUCUUGGAAACAGGAGAGUGCCUUCGGGAACGCAGUGACAGGUGGUGCAUGGCUGUCGUCAGCUCGUGUCGUGAGAUGUUGGGUUAAGUCCCGCAACGAGCGCAACCCACGUCUUUAGUUGCCAGCAUUUAGUUGGGCACUCUAGAGAGACUGCCGGUGAUAAACCGGAGGAAGGUGUGGAUGACGUCAAGUCAUCAUGCCCCUUACAUCCUGGGCUACACACGUACUACAAUGCUACGGACAAAGGGCAGCAAGUUCGCGAGGACAAGCAAAUCCCAUAAACCGUGGCUCAGUUCAGAUCGUAGGCUGCAACUCGCCUACGUGAAGGCGGAAUCGCUAGUAAUCGCAGGUCAGCAUACUGCGGUGAGUACGUUCCCGGGCCUUGUACACACCGCCCGUCACACCAUGGAAGUUGGCCACGCCCGAAGCCGUUACUCCAACCCUUGUGGAGGAGGACGUCGAAGGUGGGGCUGAUGACUGGGGUGAAGUCGUAACAAGGUAACC